CGUCGGGUUUGGUGGGCUUGCGCGGCGCCCGCUUUCGGGGAGCGGGGGCGGCGGGCUGAUCAGCCGGGUCGGCGGCGCGCGGUUCCCCGCCGGCCGG
Molecule: transfer RNA, 97 nt
Filed under: Arthrobacter saudimassiliensis
Lineage: Bacteria; Bacillati; Actinomycetota; Actinomycetes; Micrococcales; Micrococcaceae
Description: tRNA-Pro
Source: RNAcentral